Molecule: long non-coding RNA, 10270 nt
Filed under: Olea europaea (common olive)
Lineage: Eukaryota; Viridiplantae; Streptophyta; Magnoliopsida; Lamiales; Oleaceae
Description: long non-coding RNA (OEUR_LNC006824)
Source: RNAcentral
AAAGCCCCAAAUGCUUGGAGGGAAGCAAGCAUGGACCACACUUUUACUCCAUUAUCCUUCCUUUUCCCACCGAUUUUAUUGUAAGCAGAGUCCCUUUUUUUACAAAACAAAAGCCCCAAAUGCGAAAUCGUCUACUAACUAUUCACUCUCUGACGAUGUUAAAUCUCGUCGAUGACGAUUAAUCCCUGUGGAAGACGUGUGCACAGGUAAAAUCAAUUUAUGUUGUGGGUGCACGAUUAGCAUUUUGGUUUCACUCUUCUUAUUUCUCAGUUUUCUUCAAUAAGCAACGAACCAACUGAUUUUCUUCUUAUAGUUUAGGUGAAUCAUGAUGUUAGGUAGCCUUCAUUAUUAUAGUUUGCGUAGAUCUUGAAAAUUUUAGGUGUGUGAAAUUUUAGUUGUAAUAUUUUAAAGAGAGGGAAUGGCAACUACUUCCUGAUUUUUGGGCAAGGGAUCCUACUUUUAUGUAGAACUAAUUAAAUUAUAUGAACACUGAAGUCGUGUAUUUUCAAGUGUAUUACAUGUGCAUAAAAACCAAACCAUCUCUGUCUCUUAUCAAAGAAAAGAAUAACAGAGGAAAUGGUGUUGCCUCUUAAUUUUUAUUCUUACUAUAUUUAUGAGAAAAUGGUUUGGCCUCUUAAUUUCUACUAUUAGUGUAGUAAUUGUGUUGUUGAGGAAAAUCGGCUUCUCUAUUUGACAGAUGCCUUGGCUUGGUUAUUUAAAAUUUCAUUAAAAUUGAUAUUAUUGUUAUUUAAUAAUUUGAUUUUAUUAUCCAAACUUAAUCGACGAAGGUGGCAAAGGUGUGUAAAAAAGGUACAAGUGCUGCUGUUUUUUCAAUCCAAAUCUUCAUAUUUCCUUUCUCAAUUUUGUUUCCUUGUGAAGACGUUGGUAGAUUUUUACUUGUGUUUUUCAACCUUUUUAAAAUGGGGCACGUUCGUGAGAAAAUGAAUCUGAAAAGUGUAAAUAUUAUGCCCUAGGUCCAAUCAACUUUAGACAUAAAUACUUUUGAUAUAUAAUUAAUGCAAUUUAAUGAAAGAUUUAUUAUUUGAUUAAUAGAUAAUUAAAUAAAUAAUAGAGUCCGUAGAUUCAAAUCUUUGUAAUUUGUUAAUCAUAAGGAGUUGUGAUUGUGAGAUACAAAUUACAUCUGAUUGAAUCUUAAAUCGUCCGUGGUCGUAAGUAAUAACAAGAUACGGAUAUCGUUAUUACGGAUAGACCAUCACGUGUGGCAUUUCUUACUUAUGAAGUAAGUAGUUAAUCUCACAAACUAAAGUAUGGUGACAUUUAAAUGAACACGUAGAUGUUUUGUUAUAGAACAAAACAUUGGAGAUCCGCCGAGAGAUUCCACAUGGAUAACUAUUUGAGUGUCAGUGGUUAAUCUCUAACGUUCGAUAGUGGGAUUGGUCAUUUUGACUUGGGGUUGUCAUAGUACUUUAUAUGAGGACGGUCAUGCUUUAACGGCCUUGCAUGUUACUCUGCCAAGGGCUGCUAAUACAGCAUCGUUUGGGUAUGUCAAUAAUCUUAUGAAGAUUGUGAAUGACCAAUAGAGGAUUCAUCACUCUUAGAUAGUAAGAGAUUAUGAUCUGCGUUUCAUUCAAUUAAGUCGAUAAAGAAAUCCUUGGCCAAGGUGUACUCAUAAGUCGAAAAGGAGUUUUCGACUUAUAUUGACUUAAUAGUGGAGUGAAAGAUAUGAUCGAUAAUCGAGAUUGACACACUUCCAUAUCUCGUAAUUGAUCGGAUCAUAUUGACGAAGGGAUUAUAAUUUCACGGUAAACGAACGAUUUUGGUUUUGUCAUACCACAUGACAUUUUCCGUCACAUAUAUUGUCCUGACACAUUGUUAGAUGUCAAUCUGGGAUAACAAGUGUGAAUUGAUUAUAAAUUAAAAGGGUUUUUUAAUUUAUCAAUUUUGAUUAUAUUAAAAUAAUAUUUCACGUCGUUAGAUAUCGUGAUCGGGAACCUGAUGGGUCGUAUACAAAAGAGAAUGGGAAGAUUGCAAUUUGUCAAUUAAUUAAUUUAACAAUCGUUGGAUAAAUUAAUUAAUUGGUUUGGUUAUUUAUAGGCCCAAAUUAAUUAAUUGGAUUAAUUAAUUGACGGACCGAAUUUAAUUAUAUGGAUUAAUUAAAUAUUGGACCAGACUAGGCCAGGCCCGUUUGGGUUUAUAAAAAUACAUGACUAGAGUUUUCAAUCCAUAGGUUUUUCUCAUAAUUAUUCUUGCUAGCACAAGAGGAGAAAACCUUGGUAGUUGAAAUCUUGUUUUCUGUGUGGAUCACCGUUGGAGGCUGGACAAUUAGAUAGCUGUGGAUGAUGAAUCAAGAUUGCUGGAACGAAAAGAAUAGCAAAGAAGUUUGCAGAUCUGUAAAAAGUACAAUCUUAUUACAAUUUCUAUCUAAACACAAAGACAAUUCUUGGUGGGAAUCGAAAUCUGUUUUAAUUUUUCGCUGUACAUGUUAAGUAAAUUCCCAACAGUGGUAUCAGAGCCUACUUUGUAUUUGUUAGAGAUUGUUUUAAAUUUUUGGGAACAAUCAAAAGUUAAUUUUGUUCUUUUCUUAUUUCUAGCAAUUAAGAUGUUAUUUGAUUUUCAUUCUUUUGAAAUCUGAUUUAAAAAGAAUAAAUUUUGGAUCGAGAAAAAAAAAGGAAAGGGAAUCUGCCGAUGGCACUGCGACAGCGGGAGCGCCGCUACUGCUGAUUUUGCAGCAGCAGCAGCAGCUGCUCGCUGCAAGCAGCUUCCUGCUGCCGCUGGCUAAGGGGCAGCGUCAUCGCCCCUUAUUAAUAAAUGAUCGGCGCCGCAGGGAAGGGUAUUCUUCUAGGGUUGUCAAGGUCGGGGUGGACGAGGUUGGGACGGGGGCUCAGGUUGUAAAUUCAAAGAUGUUGAGCCCUUGUGUGCAAUUUCAAUUCAGGGUCAAUUGUAAUUAUUUUAAUGAAGGGCCUGCCUGUAAUUUUCGAAAUUGGAGGGUCUGAUUAUAAAUUUAAAUUUGGGUCAAGAUGCAAUUUUCAAAAGAGUUUUGAAUUUGAAUCUUAAAAUGGUUUUAAAUUUGAUUUUCAAAUGGGUUUAACCUAAAAUUUCAAUUUUGACCCAAAAUAAAAUUUUAUUUAAAACUGACAACGUUUUAUAUUUUUGUUAAAAUAUGAUUUUAACUUAAAUAUUAAAUUUGACCCCAAAUAGAAUUUUAUUUUAUCUAGGAGUGUUAUCCUAUAUUAAAAUAUUAAUUCUAUUAAAAUUGGAGUUUGACUCUAAUUUAACACUUAAUUAAAAUUUGAUUUUAAUUAAUUAUUCACCCCGAAUGUAUUCUAGAAAUUAGAAUUUGAUUCUAAUUUGACAUUUAAUUAAAAUUUGAUUUUAAUUAAAUUGUCUUACCCUAAAAUUUUCUUUGGAAUUAGAGUUGGACUCUAAUUUAAUAUUUAAUUAAAAUUUUAUUCUAAUUAAAUAAUUUACUCUAGCAUUUCUUGAAUUUACAAUUGGAUUCUAAUUUGAAAUUUAAUUAAAAUUUGAUUUUAAUUAAAUUGUCUCGCACUAAAUUUCUUCUUGGAAAUAGAAUUGGACUUUAAUUUGAUAUUUAAUUGAAAUAUGAUUUUGAUUAAAUAAAAUUCGCCCUUAAAUAUUGGAAUUAGAGUUAGAUUCUAUUUUAUUAUUUAAUUAAAAUUUGAUUUUCAUUAAAUUCAACCACCUUAAAUUUUGAAAUUGGAGUUUGACUCUAAUUUGAUAUGUAAUUAAAAUUUGAUUUUAAUUAAAUUAUUCCCCCCUAUCAUUGUUGAACUGGAGUUGAACUCUAAUUUGAUAUUUAAUUAAAAUUUGAUUUUAAUUAAAUAUGCCCGUUAAUUAAAUUAAUUAAUUAAUACGAUUAAUUAAUUAUUUAAUUGUUCCGAUCCAUUUGUCUAAAAGAGUUUAGACGACUUAAUUGCUAGAAACUUGAAACUAGUUUGCAUAUAAUAGUAGAUAUUAUUUAGGUAUACAUUUAUGUGAUAAAUAUAUUAUUAGUGGACAAUUAUGGACUCGAUCAUAUGGAUGUGUUGAAUGGUUAAAUUUUUAUUCUUGUCAUUUUAUGGGCCUGCGAUCUCUUAAUUAUUUUGGGCCUGCGAGCCCGUUAUUAUUGUUAUUAUUCUGAGUCUGCGAGCUCUUAAUCAUUUUGGACCUGGGAAUCCGUUAUUGUUACUAUUAUUACUAUGGGCAUGCGAGUCCAAUUUCAUUUAGACCUGCAUGCCAACUAGUAUAGGAUACAGGUUGUAGCUAAAUUAAUUGAAGAAAAAAGAAGAGGAGGAGACCAUGGAGAUGGUGCAUUGAUACUGUUCAAUGCUCUACCCCCUAAGAAUUGACCAACUAGUCUUCCUUAUGACUCGGGAAAACUAAAUAGUAAAAGUCCAUAAUCGUUCACACUAUUAUAUUAUGUUAUAUAUAUAUUUAUUUACAUGGUAGAUGUAUAAUAAAAUAUAUAUUAUUGUUACGAUGAGACCUUUGAAUACAAAAUCCCUCUACAAAAUAUUAAGUCACAUUUAUAAUUGUCUUCCAUCAUUAUAGUGAAAAAUCAGAGUCUCAAAUCGUCUCAACUUGUUGAGUACACUCAAGACUUGUCUAUUAGGGAUAUAUUUGACACUAUGAAAUAUUAGAAAUUUCUGAAUGAUGGGUUUGAUUUAACUAAAAAUUUAUCUUUUGUUGAGUACACUCAAGGAGAUAAAUUUUAGAGGCAUGUUAAGCUAACACAUAAGAUGUGUGAAGACAAAGAGUUGUCAGCUUAAUGAUCUGAGAGUUGUAUGGAGAUAUAAUUGAUAAUAAUAUCUACCCAAAUGUUAUAUUAAGGCUUGUUGAGUACACUCAAGGUCUUAGUAUAACAGAUGAGAUCCCAACUCACUGAGAGUCGAGUAUGGACUCCAUAAAUUUAUGUGAGAGGGUCAUAAAUUUGUAUUAAACAAGUGGGAGAAUAAUUAAUUUAAUAAAAAUUCAUAUUAAAUUAAUUGAUGCAUUUUAUAAAUUAUUCUUUUUCUUUUCGUCAUUUAUAUUUAUUGAAUCGUGAGUAACCAUGUGUAUUUGAGAGGCAUAUUGGAUGCCAACAACCAAAUUAAAUCUUCUUGAUUGGCACUGUAAUUUGAGAAUUGUUCUUAAGCAUGAGAAAGUUGGUUGUCCUUAAGUAGCCAUUUUCCAGAGACAUCUGGUGAUGACUCGAUUAAAGAAGAGGUGGCUGUUAUAAUGAACGCAGUGAUGACAAUAGUACUGCAACGUAUGCAAUACCUGCAACUAAGUCACUUGAGUUACUAAAGCAACUUGAGCGUACAGAUGUUGACACAUAAUUCUUCAUUACAAAGAGUUGUAUGAUAAUAAUCAUGUGUGGAAGGAUAUGAGACCUUCAAACAACUAUACCGAUGCAAAGUGAUAAAAGAAUCUUCACUCAAUCCUCAUGUACUGAAGAUGAUUGACAUGAAAGUGUCUCAACUGAGUUCAAUCAUUAACUAUGAACUAAGUAUUGACUUAGCUCUGCAAUCUCUGUCAUAGAGUUAUUCAUACUAAUUAUGAAUUAUGAUAUAAAUAAGCUCGAAUGCAUACUCAUUAAGUUGCUUAACAUGCUUAAAACUGUUAUACCCAAUAACAAAGUUAGAAGUGGGCAAGCCAUUGAUUCCUCUAAGGGUAUUAAGAGGAAGUCUAAAGGGGCUUUGUGAAAGCAUCCAAUAUGGUUAAGACAGUCUAAGUGAAAGGACAACAGCAAAUUUAAUGACCCUUGUCUUCAUUAUAGAAUGAAAGGUCAUUGGAAAAAAUUAUUGCAAGGCUUAUAUCUAUUUCAUUAGCUUCUCAGGUAUUAGAUACUAGGUGUGGAUCUCAUAUUUAUACAAAUAUGGAGAAACAAAAUGGAGAUAGAUCACUACAAGAGGGAGAAGUUAACCUACACGUUGAAGAUAAGCAAAUGUUGCUACAUUGCCUGUAGGAGCAUACUUCUUGCCAUUACCUUUUGACUUAGUAAUAGAAUUAGAGAAAUAUUUCUUUGUACCCACCAUAGCUGGAACAUUAAAAUGAAUUUCAUGUUCAGACAUGAACCAUUUUAAUGUUAAGGACAAUUGUUGUUCCUGCAUAUCUUGAUUAAGAUCUUAAUAGUUAUGGUAAGUUACAAAAUAACAUUUAUAUUCUAAAUACUAAGGAUUCUAUAAUGAGUAUAGAAAUUAUAAGGCAUGAAUGCAAUAAUUUAAUUAUUACCGAAAUCUGGCAUGACAGACUUUGUCAUAUAGAUGAAAUGCAAUUUCAAAGUUACAUAAAAAUGUAUACUCGGGAUUAAUUGAUUUUGACAAGUACAAAUUAUGUAUGUCUGGAACAAUGACCAAAUCUUCUUUUACUUGAACAGAAGAAAGGUCAGCAUAAUUACUGAUCUAAUGCAUAGUGAUGCAUAUGGACUCAUGUCAAUUGAUGUCAGGAAAUGUUUCUCUUAUUUUAUCAAUGAUCAUGUAUACUUGAUGAAACUCAAACAUGAAACUCUAGAAAAGUUCAAGGGAUUCAAACUAAAAGUAGAGAAAUAAAUAGGUAAAGAUACCCUCACAUUAAGAUUCGAUCAAGUGAGAGUAUCUUAAAGAUAAAAUCUAGAUUAUCUAUAGAUUAUCUAAAAGAGAAUGAGAUUCUCUUGCAGUGGACUCCUCCAUAUACACUGCAGCAUAGUGGUAUAUCUGAAAGCAGAAAACGUUAACUAUUAGAUAUAGUGCGAUUAAUAACAAGCCAUGCAAAUCUCCUAAAAUUAUUUUGGGGUCAUGCAUUGAUUGCAGUGUGUAACACACUAAAUCAUAUCACACCUAAGUUGGUUAACAGAACUCCAUACGAUUUAUGGAAAGGUAAUAGUCCCAAUUUAUCUCAUAUGAAAGUUUGGGGCCAUGGCGCUUAUUUGAAGCGCAUUGAAUCAGAUAAGUUUGAGAUUAAAUCCAAUAAAUACAUAUUUGUGGUAUAUUCAAAGCAGAUAUUUGAAUAUAAAUUCUAUUAUUGUGAAGAAAGUCUUCACCUCACGACAUAUCGUCUUCCUAAAGAAAAUGUUUACUCUAGGGAGGACAGUGAGAGCAAAAUAGAAUAUGAAAGAGUUCAAGGGUCCAUAAAUAUAGUUAGCCAAGUAGAUGAAUCCGAGUUUGAUCUCAUAUCUGAUAUACUCUUGAUCAGGAAGUAAAGACUCUUGAGGACAUGUCAGCUCUAUGUGAAUCUAGUAGGAUUAUUCGACCUUCGAGAAUGUGCCAAUCCACAAUUACUAAUCAGGUAUUACUGAUCUAGGAUAAUGAACCUGCUAGUUGCACCAACAUAAAGUCAAGUGUUGACUUAAAAGAGAUAGGAAGAGGCCAAGAAACUCGAGAUGAACUCGACAUAUGUGAACAAGGUUUGGACCUUGGUCAAGCCUCCUGAUGGAAUAAAACCCAUAAAUUUUUGUAAAUAGUAAACAAGGAAAAGGUCGAUAUGGAUGGGAAUAUCCAUAUAUACAAAGCAAGGCUAGAAGCAAAGGUUAGGUAUUGACCUUGGUGAAACAUUUCUCCUAUAGCCUUGCUGAAGUCCAUUUGGGUUUUGCUUGCAACAAUUACAUACCGUGACUAUAGGUUAAGAGAAGUCUCUUGGAGUUGAAAUCUUAGAUUUGAUGAAAAAGUCAAAGUGUUUGAUUUUAUCAAAUUUGAAGACAAAUUGUGUAUUUACAAAAAGAUAGUAGGAGCAUUAUCGUAUUCCUAAUAUUAUAGAAAACUAUAUCCUUAUAUUUCAAUCGUUGAAAUAAUGGUUGUUAAAUGAUUUAUUCAUGAACGAUAUGAGAGAAUCAACUUGAUCUAUAGAGGUAGAUCUAGAAGAUUUCUUAACUCAUCCAAAUUUACAUAGAUGAAAUCUUGAGAAGAUUUCAUAUGGAGAAACUGGUUUACUCUUAAGCGGUAUGUUGGAAAGGUUCCAAACGUGAAGCAAUCGUUGAUUCAAUAGUAGAAACCUAAUACAUGAUUACUUCAGAAGUAGCAAAGAGCUGCAAUCUGGAUCAUGAUGUUCAUAAAUGAACUUGGAGUAGUUCUUGUUAUUGUUGAUCACAUGUCAUUGUAUUGUGAUAACAAUAGAGCCAUUUCGAAAGCGAAGGAACUAAGGUAUCAUCAAUGAUUCAAACUUGUAUUAAGGCGGUAUAAUCUCAUCAGAGAGAUAAUACAUAGAAAUGACAUAAAGAGAAGAACAAAUUCUGACAUUUAACAAUAUUGUAGAUCUAUUGACAAAGAGUUAUCGUAGCAUAAACAUGAUAGUCAUCUAGACUUAUGAUAUUGGAUACAUAAGUGAUUGGAUCUAGUGCAAGUGGGAGUUUGUAAGUAUUAUGCCCUACGUCCAAUUAACUUUGGACAUAAAUACUUUUGAUAUAUAAUUAAUGCAAUUUAAUGGAAGAUUUAUUAUUUAAUUAAUAGAUAAUUAAAUAAAUAAUAGAGUCCGUAGAUUCAAAUCUUCGUAAUUUGUUAAUCACAAGAGUUGUGAUUGUGAGAUACAAAUUACAUCUGAUUGAAUCUUAAAUCGUCCGUGGUCGUAAGUAAUAACGAGAUACGGAUAUCGUUAUUACGGAUAGACCAUCACGUGUGGCAUUUCUUACUUAUGAAGUAAGUAGCUGAUUUCACAAACUAAAGUGUGGUGACAUUUAAAUAAACACGUAGAUGUUUUGUUAUAGAACAAAACAUUGGAGAUCCACCGAGAGAUUCCACAUGGAUAACUAUUUGAGUGUCAGUGGUUAAUCUCUAACGUUCGAUAGUGGGAUUGGUCAUUUUGACUUGAGGAUGUCAUAGUACCUUAUAUGAGGACAGUCAUGCUUUGACAGGGUUGGAUGUUGCUCUGCCUAGGACUGCUAAUACAAUAUCGUUCGAGUAUGUCAAUAAUCAUAUGAAGGUUGUGAAUGACCAAUAGAGGAUUCGUCACUCUUAGGUAGUAAGAGAUUAUGAUCUGCGUUUCAUUCAAUUAAGUCAAUAACAAAAUACUUGGCCAAGGUGUACUCAUAAGUCGAAAAGAAGUUUUCAACUUUUAUUGACUUAAUAGUGGAGUGAAAGAUAUGAUCGAUAAUCGAGAUUGACACAUUUCAAUAUCUCGUAAUUGAUCGGAUCAUAUUGACGAAGGGAUUAUAGUUUUACGGUAAACGAACGAUUUUGAUUUUGUCAUACCACAUGACAUUUCCUGUCACAUAUAUUGCCCUGACACAUUGCUAGAUAUCAAUCUGGGAAGGCGAGUAUGAAUUGAUGAUAAAUUAAAUGGGUGUUUUAAUUUAUCAAUUUUGAUUAGAUCAAAAUAAUAUUUUACAUCGUUAGGCACGUGAUCGGGAACCUGAUGGAUCGCACACAAAAGAGAAUUUGAAGAUUACAAUUUGUCAAUUAAUUAAUUUAACAAUCGUUGGAUAAAUUAAUUAAUUGGUUUGAUUAUUUAUAGACCCGAAUUAAUUAAUUGGAUUAAUUAAUUCACGGAUCGGAUUUAAUUAAAUGGAUUAAUUAAAUAUUGGAUAUGACCAGGUCAGGCCCGUUUGGGCUUAUAUAAAUACAUGGCUAAGGUUUUCAAUCCAUAGGUUUUUCUUAUAAUUAUUCUUGCUAGCACAAGAAGAGAAAAUCCUGGUAGUUGCAAUCUUGUUCUCUCUGUGGAUCACCGUUAGAGGUUGAACAAUUGGAUAGCUGUAGGUAGCGAAUUAAGAUUGCUGGAAUGAAAAGAAUAGCAAAGAAGUUUGCAGAUCUGUAAAAGGUAUAAUCUUAUUACAGUUUUUAUCUAAACACAAAAGCGAUUCUUGGUGGGAAUCGAAAUCUAUUUUAAUUUUUCGCUGUACAUGUUAAGUAGAUUUCCAACAAAAAGAUGAUUGAUUUGUCUUGAGAAAUGAAGUUAGUUAGAUUGUUAACUAUUCAAAACUUUGAGUUGAGUUUUGCUUAUUUUCUUGCUUAUCUUUAUUGCAAAAAGCACAUCAAUGGACUGAAUUUUUCCCCUCACUAGUUUCUUUUAUCUUCAUUUUUUUCACUGUUAUGGUCAGUGUUGUUGUUACUUAUGGAGAAUAUGUUUUCCCUUUUCAUCUACAAGGAAAUGAAGGAAUGUGGUGGUUCUUGUUUAUCAGCCUUUGCUGUGAAUCUGGAGUUUAGGGAACUUUGCAAGUGAUUUCCAGUGCCCAAUUUACUGGUCAAAUUUAUGGUUACAUAUUCGGAUUUGUUUAGUUUUGUAACCCCCAAUGACAGUUUUCGUAUGCAUUGGGUAUGUAACAGAAGCAACAUUGUAAUGGGUAGUGGAAUGAUUACCUACAUGGUUUUAACAAUUGUGUGAUCAUUUUUUUUCAACAUAAGGCAACGUUCUAAUGGAUAGUGGG